RNAcentral lists this small nuclear RNA (188 nucleotides) under Panthera leo (lion). Its description in RNAcentral is "U4 spliceosomal RNA (ENSPLOG00000010519.1)". It matches the Rfam family "U4 spliceosomal RNA". From Rfam's summary of the family: U4 small nuclear RNA (U4 snRNA) is a component of the major U2-dependent spliceosome. The structure of U4 snRNA from yeast and human has been reported. U4 snRNA presents a k-turn RNA motif in the 5p-SL related to recognition of Snu13 protein. The record is from Rfam by way of RNAcentral. Lineage: Eukaryota; Metazoa; Chordata; Mammalia; Carnivora; Felidae.
AGCUUUGCGCAGUGGCAGAAUUGUAGCCAAUGAGGUGUAUCCGAGGCACGAUUAUUGCUAAUUGAAACCAAAGGAGAAUAUUUCUAAUGUAUCUCUUGAGAAUUCUAAAAACAUGCAGAGAAUAGCCUAGUGGUCAAAGAGUAGGAUAUGGAGAUAUUCCUGGAUUUUCUAUACUCACUAAUAAGGUG